AAUAAUGUAAAAGAAAUAGUCCCGC
RNAcentral lists this non-coding RNA (25 nucleotides) under Drosophila melanogaster (fruit fly). Lineage: Eukaryota; Metazoa; Arthropoda; Insecta; Diptera; Drosophilidae. The record is from RNAcentral.